Molecule: transfer RNA, 73 nt
Filed under: Pirellulaceae bacterium
Lineage: Bacteria; Pseudomonadati; Planctomycetota; Planctomycetia; Pirellulales; Pirellulaceae
Description: tRNA-Leu
Rfam family: tRNA
About the family: Transfer RNA (tRNA) molecules are approximately 80 nucleotides in length. Their secondary structure includes four short double-helical elements and three loops (D, anti-codon, and T loops).
Source: RNAcentral
CUUUGGUUAGCUCAGUGGGUAGAGCACCAGGCCAAGAAUCUGGCUGUGACGGGUUCGACUCCCGUACCAACUC